This 122-nucleotide microRNA precursor is filed under the name Brachypodium distachyon (stiff brome). RNAcentral describes it as "miR5185g stem-loop (bdi-MIR5185g)". It matches the Rfam family "MIR5185 microRNA precursor family". The record is from miRBase by way of RNAcentral. Lineage: Eukaryota; Viridiplantae; Streptophyta; Magnoliopsida; Poales; Poaceae.
UGCAACCGGGAUCCGCGAAAGUCCCGCUUCUAGUUCAUUUUUCAAAUCUUCUAUUCAAAAUUUUGUUCAGAAUUUGAAUAAGAGAUUUGAGAAUUGAACUAGAAGCGGGAUUUUCGCGGGAU